Molecule: ribosomal RNA, 1020 nt
Filed under: Brevundimonas sp.
Lineage: Bacteria; Pseudomonadati; Pseudomonadota; Alphaproteobacteria; Caulobacterales; Caulobacteraceae
Description: bacterial SSU rRNA
Rfam family: Bacterial small subunit ribosomal RNA
Source: RNAcentral
GCAAGUACCAGGUAUCCGCAUAGGCAGUCGAGCGGAUCUUCGGACUUGCUGGCUGAUUGGUGAGUAGACGGUGGAAACAUGCCUUUGAGUUCGCAUGGCUCGGGGGACUUGUGCUAAACCGAAAGGUGCCCUUCGGGGGAAACAUUUGUCGCCUUUGGAGCGGCCCCCGUCCGAUUACCUACUUAGUGAGGUAAGGGCUCACCACUGCGACGAUGGGUAACUGGCCUGAGAGGAUGAUAACCCACAUUGGGACUGAAACACGGCCCAUACUCCUACGGGAGGCACCAGUGCCGAAUCUUGCCCGGUGGGCGAAAGCCUGAAUCAUCCAUGCCGCGUGAAUGACGAAUGCCUUCAGAUUGUAAAAUUCUUUCACCGGGUACGAUUGUGACGGUACUUGGAUAAGAAGCCACGGCUAACUUCUUGCCACCUGCCGCUUUAAUACUAACGGGGCUAGCGUUGCUCGGAAUUACUGGGCCUAAAGGCAGCGUAAGCGGACAUUUGAAUCAGGUGUGAAAUCCUGGGGCUCAACCUCGGAAUUGCCUUUGAUACUGGAUGUCUUGAGUGUAACACAGGUAUGUGGAACUCCAAUUGUACAGGUGAAAUUCAUAUAUAUUCGGAAAAACGGCAGUGGAAAUUGCUACGUACUGGCUCAUUACUGACACUGAGGCUCGAAAGCGUGUGGAGCAAGCAAGAUUAUAUACUGUGGUAGUCCACGCCGUACACGAUGAUUGCUAGCUGACGGGAUUCAUGCAUCUCGGUGACCCAGCUAUCACAUAAAUCAAUCCGCCUGGGGAGUACGUUCGAUCUAUUAAAACUCACAAGAAUUGACAGGCGCCCGCACGAGCAGUGCAGCCUGUGGUUAAUUCUAAACAACGCUGACAAGCUUACCACCUAUUGACAUGCCCAGACCGUCACAUAGAUGUGACUCUCACAUCCGAGACUGGACACACGUGCUGCAUAGCUGUCGUCAACUCAUGUCGUCAUAUGUUGACUUAAAUCCCGCAACGAGCGCAACCCUCG